Molecule: transfer RNA, 74 nt
Filed under: Bacteroidaceae bacterium
Lineage: Bacteria; Pseudomonadati; Bacteroidota; Bacteroidia; Bacteroidales; Bacteroidaceae
Also listed under: 1 other name
Description: tRNA-Gln
Rfam family: tRNA
About the family: Transfer RNA (tRNA) molecules are approximately 80 nucleotides in length. Their secondary structure includes four short double-helical elements and three loops (D, anti-codon, and T loops).
Source: RNAcentral
UGGGCUAUGGUGUAAUGGUAGCACAAGACAUUUUGGUCGUCUUAGUCCUGGUUCGAAACCGGGUAGCCCAACCA